ACAGUCUCACAACGAAAACGUCGCUGGGUUGACUUUCUCAAAAGCACCGCCCAAACGUCUACUUAUCCACGUAUGAAGGCCAUUGGCCCCUCCUUCGGAAAACUUCGGAUUCUGGGCCAUCACCCGAGUGCAGCCGAACGUCCGCCAUACUGCCCUCGCGCUCUGUGUGUGUGCUGGUCUAAAAUGGCUCAAACACCCAUUAACACAAACUGGCAGGACCUGGAUGAGGAAGUGCAACAAGCACAGAAGAUGUUGGAUGUUAUGGAGCAACAGAUUGUGAGGCCAGGACACACCACAAAGGCCAGAAACAAAAGAAGAAGAGUUGAGCCUACUGUAAAAUGGGUUGAGAGAGAUGCCUGUGGAUACAGAAUUCAAGACAACAGCAAACCUUUAAGGAGAGAGUCAGUCCCCAGAAUGCCUCUAGUACCAGAGAUUCAAUCAACUGCCAGGGCAGAUGAAUCAUGUUUUGAUCCUUCCAUCAAAGGUCCAAGCAAUGAAGAGAUGCUAGAUGUUCUUCGUCAAGAAAUGGAGGAACUUAUUUCUGAUGCAUUAUUGGACGAUCCUGAAGUUCGCACUAUUCCAAACAUUGCUUCUGUAGACUGGGCUAUACGAAAAUCAAAGUCUCUUGAACGAUGGAAAGAACUAAGACCGGACUUGAUUCAGUACAUGUUGAAAGCUGAAAACACUGUGCAGACCUUGUGUAGUUACUGCAGGAAUAAAAAAGCUGUCCUUCGGUGCCAAGAUUGUCUUCCUAAACAAUACUAUUGUGAAGAUUGUGAUCUCUCAUUUCAUGCAGUAUUUGUGCUGCAUAAUAGGGACAGUAUGGUUGAUGGAUUUUUCAUGCCCAUUCCACCAACAACAGUAAUCAAGUUUGCCAGUGAUGGUAAACUGAUAUAUGAAGAAAAAGACUGUAAAUUGCCAGUACCAGUACCUGAGAGAAUAUGUGCAUGUGCAGCAGCAGCAGCAGCAGCUACAGCCAGUAUUGGCAAACGGGUCAUUUUAAUAACUGUAAACGGCCGAUAUAGUAUGUAUUUGCCUGUCUUGAAUUGCACAUUUUGUGGCAACAGUUGGUCACCAAACUCCAGUGAUCUUAUACAGAAUGGGUAUUGGCCAGCCUCAGUGAGCUACGAAACUAUAUAUUCCAUGGACCUCUUCUCCAUGUUUGAAGACAUGAAGGUAAUUGCUCCAGCAAUGUCCCUCCAGGCCUUUACAAGGACAUUAGAGCGUCGGACUUCACAUUUUGGCAGGGACAGAUGAAAAGGGGUUUUAUGAUGGUUGUCUCUUAGCAAAAGAUGAAGAGGUCUCUAGCUUUGUGGACUACAUACACAAGACAACAAAACAUGUGUCUGGAAAAGGAAAAUGUGGAGCCUCUCAGUGGGCAGCAGCCAAAGAAUCGUCUAAAAAAUCUACCAGUAAAAUAGAUGAAGAGGGACUUGAGGUUGCAGUGUGUCGACACGGCAUAAUAUUAAAGGCCCUGAAUAUGUUUCAGGGUGAAAUAUUUGCUUAUCCUCUCUUUCUCCAGAAAGAGAUAGCUGUAAACAAAGUUAAGUUUUUCUGCAGUGAUGUAGUUUGCAGAUAUUGGCCAUAUCUACAGAAGGUUGUGAACGUUUGUCCAGAGCUUUCCCAUCUUCAAGACAUGAAGCCUUUUCUUUCCAUAAUGCAUGCUAAAGCACAUGCUUCAAAAUGUGAGGUAAUUUGCAUUACUAGAAAUGCAUCUGUAGUAGUCCUUCAUUUACUUAGGCUGUGUAUCAUUCUUUUUCUUUCCUUUUCACGCUGUAGAUUAAAUGGGGAGGAAGGAACCAGCAGGGUGCUGGGACAACUUUAGGUGAAGAGGUAGAACAAGUAAAUAGCUUUCUUUCAAAGACUGCUAUCUGCCUGAAACAAAUGUCCAAAUCAGGUGUGUGUGUGUGUGUGUGUGUGUGUGUGUGUGUGUGUGUGUGUGACUUACUUAUUUACUUAUUUAAUUACAGUUCGAACAGACAUGUUAACUAUUCAGGUGAUUGGUUGGAAUGGACGAAAAAGAGACAACAUGCACUGUGCCUUAUCUCAAAGAUACAGGAAGACUGUAGCCAGAGCCAAAGAACAAGCUGAAAAAGUUGAAAGGCUUCAAGAAGAAUUUGGAAUUGGACAUCCUUGAAGCAUGGACUUUAGAUAUCCAGCAGUGGGCAAAUACAGCUUCAGGUGCUGAAACUGCUUUGGGUCCAGAGGGUCUACAACAGAAAAUUGAGGGGCUGUUCCUGAGCAUCAAACAAAGGAAACAACAACUUUACUCUCAAACAGACCGCAAUAAAAGACGACAUCAUUUAAGAAGGAAGCUGGCAGCUGCUGUUGAAGAGUAUAAUAACUUUGUUUUGGAUGACCAGAAGAUUUGUACCGUGGAUACCAUUCUGUCUUCUGAAAGCCAUACAUGGCCUUGGGAGUUGCAUGGGCUUGGAAGUUCUGUUGACCUCUACUCCAAGAAGAGAGUGUUUGAUGAAGUUAUGAUGAUGAGAAGACUACAAGAAGAAGAGUCCAUUCUUCUAAUGGAGAUCAAGCAGCACUGGGACUCCCUAAGGGCAUAUUCUCAGGCCUUAAAACAGCUUGCUACACAACUGUGCCAGGACCUGAGCAGUCAACGUGGUGAUCUGGGUGAGAUGGAUGCAAAAAGGGGACUUCUGUGCUUUGUAAGGAAAAGGCAGUCAUACUUUAAAAAUCACCUACAUAUUGUCAGAGCAAAAUAUCUUGGUGGAAUGCACCAAGAUGUUUCUCCACUUGAAGAUGAUUUGGAUGACUUCAGCUGUGACA
RNA transcript from Astyanax mexicanus (Mexican tetra), 2784 nucleotides. RefSeq lists it as uncharacterized. The record is from RefSeq and is a predicted model, not a curated record. The transcript is spliced from 14 exons. Lineage: Eukaryota; Metazoa; Chordata; Actinopteri; Characiformes; Acestrorhamphidae.